GGGGUUGUAAAGGUUUCGACAGGUUGUUGUUUGAUUCGGGAUGCAGUGGAGUUGUGACCAUAUCACUACCUAAAUUUAAACGCUAACAGAAACAAUAGUUUCGCAUUCGCUGCCUAAUUGCGCUUAAGACGCUGCAGCGACCCGGUCAGGGUUUAGCCGUUAUCGCCUGACUGCGUAACUGAAACGGAUAAGGUGAAUCCGAUGCCUGUAGGAGGAUCCCGACAAUUGACAGGCAGAUUCAGCUGACGGUUCGCUCACUGUCAUAUCAGCUGUCUUAUCCAACAGUGGGAUAAACUGUAGAUUCCUGAAUGUGGGACGCUUCUUGGACAGGGGUUCGACUCCCCUCAGCUCCACU
This 355-nucleotide transfer-messenger RNA is filed under the name uncultured Bulleidia sp. It matches the Rfam family "transfer-messenger RNA". From Rfam's summary of the family: Bacterial tmRNA, also known as 10Sa RNA or SsrA, is named for its dual tRNA and mRNA-like properties. Its role is to liberate the mRNA from a stalled ribosome. To accomplish this part of the tmRNA is used as a reading frame that ends in a translation stop signal. The record is from RNAcentral. Lineage: Bacteria; Bacillati; Bacillota; Erysipelotrichia; Erysipelotrichales; Erysipelotrichaceae.